GACAGCAGUCGCCGCGGUAAUACGUAGGUGGCAAGCGUUGUCCGGAGUUAUUGGGCGUAAAGGGCUCGCAGGCGGUUUCUUAAGUCUGAUGUGAAAGCCCCCGGCUCAACCGGGGAGGGUCAUUGGAAACUGGGAAACUUGAGUGCAGAAGAGGAGAGUGGAAUUCCACGUGUAGCGGUGAAAUGCGUAGAAAUGUGGAGGAACACCAGUGGCGAAGGCGACUCUCUGGUCUGUGACUGACGCUGAGGAGCGAAAGCGUGGGGAGCAAACAGGAUUAGAUACCCCUGUAGUCCCUGUCUCUUAUAC
RNAcentral lists this ribosomal RNA (306 nucleotides) under uncultured bacterium. RNAcentral describes it as "partial 16S ribosomal RNA". It matches the Rfam family "Bacterial small subunit ribosomal RNA", at positions 507 to 807 of the family's 1533-position model. The record is from RNAcentral.